Molecule: long non-coding RNA, 2573 nt
Organism: Manis pentadactyla (Chinese pangolin)
Lineage: Eukaryota; Metazoa; Chordata; Mammalia; Pholidota; Manidae
Exons: 3
Source: RefSeq, a predicted model, not a curated record
AACAUUUUUCUUUCCUUCUGGUAAUUUGGAAUCCUUGCUACCAUCUGGCAAUUUUCUUUCCAGCGUCCUACACACACAAUAGAGCCCACACCCCUCAAAACCCCCUUGACUAACCCAGAUGACAGCAAGAAUGCCCUAUAAGCCAAGGUGAGGCCUUCUGUCUCCUCCAGCCUUCUGCUCUGAAACCAUACCGACUUCUCAGAGUGAUACCAAAGGAGGGUCUCCCGGGCAAGCUUCGCAGCCUCUACAGCCUUCGUCUGAGACUCCUGCAGCUCCGACGGGCCUGUCGCCACGGUAAUCAGCUACCUCCUGACCCCGCUGCUUUCUGAGACUGCCUGUCUAAUCUGAGGUGGGAAUGUCCCCGGAGGCAGACCCCAGACUGGCAGCUCUUCACUCUGACCCAACUCAGAAGCAAAUAUCCAGCUGGAAGCUUUUGCUUGCUGGGGUGGAAGGGCCUCUUUAACCGCAGGAGGAGUCUGAUGAAUUCUGGGCUCAAAAGGGUGUUGCUUUUUUUCCCCCAACAGACAUGCUCUCCAAUCCCCAAACCAGCCCCUGGUGAAAGUUGGCCUUUUAGCCUUUUGUAUCACAUUCUCUGUUGUUUAUAAUGCUGAGCGAAGAUGGGAGGGAACAAUAACGCCAGAGGAUUUGGGUGAUCUUCCUGUCAGUAGGGAGGUAUGUGGAAAAAGAAGGCAUGGAGAGAGGGAGCAGAAAGCCAGCUUCAUGGGAUCUGUUGACAUCUAAUGGCUGGAACAGAUUGCUUCAGCUCACAGGAACACAGAGCACCAUAAAUGGGUGUUGAUUUCAAUCUUAAAGGAACAACUCCUUCCCACAGGAAAGCAGGUGGCUAAUAGUACCCACAAGACCCUUAUACACUGUACCUAUUUAAUUCUUCAGUCAUAUAAAGGCAAAGAAAGAACCACUUCAAAGAUGAGCUUUUUAAAAAAGGUCACCAUUUCUCUGUUGGGAAUUGUCACAGGGGAGUAAUAUGGAUCCUGAAUAAAUUGCCACCCACCCGGAACUCACCCAGAAGGGGAGCCACGCAAGGGAGGCCCUCACAUUUGCUGGGGCAUCCUGAGGGCUGACAGCUGGUCAUGGUCGCAGUGACCGUGGACAAGUCUCCGGACUUGGUUCCUUCCCGUCCACAUGGAGAGGCUGGGUGGAUGAGACAGGAGGACCCAGGCCAGCCCUGUGACAUCAGUGAGAGAGCACGGGCUGUGUCUCCAGGUCUUGGCUGGUGUCUGGAAUAGUGAAGAUGCUCUCUGAAUGUUUGUCAUGCAAAUAGAUAAAUGAUAGUAUUUCAUUUUGACUUUUAUCUCCAUAGAGAUUUUCUUUUGCCUCCUCCGGGUCUCCGUAUGAGGGAGGAAGGGAAGAAGCUCGGAGAUACUCUUUCUGAGAGGAUGCCCUGCUCUGGGUCCUCGCAGAACUGACCACCCAGCUGGGAAGGAAAGUCCAGCAUCGCUGGUACCCAGUGCCCUCACUAACCCUGAGACUGGGAGAGCCAAAGGGGCCACACAAUGCCGUCAUUCCCAGGAGGAGAGAUGUCAGGUUGCGGGCUCCAAUUUUCUGUCUAAGCCCCCCGUGUCCUGACAUGAGCACCAACUGGUCACCAGCAUUGACAGAGCUGUGAAUCACUAGUGCACCAAAUCUGUGCUCCUGCAGACCAAGCUCCAAGCCUCUGAUGGCCUCCGAGCUACUGUCUUGCCAUCCCAGAGAGUAACACAGAGUUAGUACUUGGCAAAUACAUUUUUUAAACUUUUUAUUUGACAUAAUGAUAAAGAAAAGUUGCAAAAAAAUACAAAGCUCCCAUAUAUCCUCCACCCAUCUUUCCCUUAUGUUAACAGCUCAUAAAAUCAUAGUAAAAUUAUUGAAGUUUUAGGAUAUUAUCAUUGAUCCUAUACUCUUGACUAUAUACAGACUUUAUUUGAAUUUCACCAAUUGUUCCACUGUGAUAUUGCGAUUUAUAAUACAAAAUUAUGAAAUAGAUAUUUGGUCUUUGUCCCAUUCUUGACACAGAGCUCCUAAAAGCAGGAGUUUCCUUUGGUGAAAGAGAUCAAGGUGUCUUUUGUUUUGUUAAAGACAUAACUUUUGGAAAGUCCCCAGGUAGCCUGAGGAUGGGUCUGGUUGCCAGGGGAACUGACUCUGUGGUUAAAGGGUUGGCAUUUUCAGUCCCUCCCCAACCUCAGGGAGAGGAGACGGGCUGGAGAUUGAGAUCACUUACCAAUGGCCAAUGAUUAAUCAACCAUGCCCAGUUAAUAAAGUCUCCAUAAAACCCAAAAGAUGUGAUUAGAAUUUGGAGAGCUUCUGGGUGGGUGGACAUGUGGAGAUGCUGGGGUGGGGGCACGGAGCUCUGUGGCCCUUCCGUGUACGUGGCCUGUGCAUUUCUUCCACCUGGCCAUUCCUGAGUUCUAUCCUUUUAUAAUAAACAGGCAGUCUAGUAAGUAUAAUGUUUCUCUGAGUUCUGGGAGCUGCUCUAGCAAAUUAAUGGAGCCCAAGGAGUAGGUCCCAGGAACCUCUAAGUUACAGCACAUUGGUGAGAAACACAGGUGACAACCUGGACUUGGGGUGGGCAUCUG